Molecule: ribosomal RNA, 406 nt
Filed under: uncultured bacterium
Lineage: Bacteria
Description: partial 16S ribosomal RNA
Rfam family: Bacterial small subunit ribosomal RNA
Source: RNAcentral
AUUGAACGCUGGCGGCAGGCCUAACACAUGCAAGUCGAACGAGUGGCGGACGGGUGAGGAAUAGAUCGGCAUCUACUCUGUCGUGGGGGAUAACGUAGGGAAACUUACGCUCAUACCGCAUACGACUGAAUGAGCCGAUGUCGGAUUAGCUAGUUGGCGGGGUAAAGGCCCACCAAGGCGACGAUCCCUAGCUGGUCUGAGAGGAUGAUCAGCCACACUGGAACUGAGACACGGUCCAGACUCCUACGGGAGGCAGCAGUGGGGAAUAGUGGACAAUGGGCGCAAGCCUGAUCCAGCCAUGCCGCGUGUGUGAAGAAGGCCUUCGGAUUGUAAAGCACUUUUGUUGGGAAAGCGUUACCAAAAGAAUAAGCACCGGCUAACUUCGUGCCAGCCGCCGCGGUAAUUC